GACGAACGCUGGCGGCGUGCCUAAUACAUGCAAGUAGAACACUGAAGGAGGAGCUUGCUCUUCUUGGAUGAGUUGCGAACGGGUGAGUAACGCGUAGGUAACCUGCCUGGUAGCGGGGGAUAACUAUUGGAAACGAUAGCUAAUACCGCAUAAUAGUAGAUGUUGCAUGACAUUUGCUUAAAAGGUGCAAUUGCAUCACUACCAGAUGGACCUGCGUUGUAUUAGCUAGUUGGUGAGGUAACGGCUCACCAAGGCAACGAUACAUAGCCGACCUGAGAGGGUGAUCGGCCACACUGGGACUGAGACACGGCCCAGACUCCUACGGGAGGCAGCAGUAGGGAAUCUUCGGCAAUGGACGGAAGUCUGACCGAGCAACGCCGCGUGAGUGAAGAAGGUUUUCGGAUCGUAAAGCUCUGUUGUAAGAGAAGAACGAGUGUGAGAGUGGAAAGUUCACACUGUGACGGUAUCUUACCAGAAAGGGACGGCUAACUACGUG
RNAcentral lists this ribosomal RNA (496 nucleotides) under uncultured bacterium. RNAcentral describes it as "partial 16S ribosomal RNA". It matches the Rfam family "Bacterial small subunit ribosomal RNA", at positions 28 to 507 of the family's 1533-position model. The record is from RNAcentral.